AUAAUCAUAUCCACGUAUUUUUUUAUUUGAAGAAACUUCUAAUACCAUCCUUAUAAUAAUUUCACAAUUUUUUAUUUUAGUAGUCUAUAAUUUAAAAUGUAUCACUUUUGCACCCUUUGGUUUAUUUUUUCCUUUCCAUCAUCCCCUCUAUUAAUUUUUCGUUAAAUCAGUGACAAAAUUAAACCGCAUGGUACUAAAGUAAAAAUUUGGUAAACCAUAGGAUACUAAAAUGAAUAUUCGAUAAAUCAUAGGUGGAAUGUCUGAAAUUUUUUUGUAUAUAAUUUAAUGAAGAGUUAACAAAGACGCUGACGAAAAAUAAAAUAAAAUAACAGGAUAUUUAAGUGAUAUACUUUAAACCAAAAGAUACUAAAAUGAGAAAGCGCGAAAUCAUGAGAUGGUAUUUGAAGUUUGCCCUUUUUAUUUUGGUAAAAAACGUGAUGUGGAGGAGACGUAUCUUCUCCAAGAAACGAAAAGAUAUUUUCUUUAAGAAACAAAGAGAUUUCUCCAAGAAACGAAGAGAUUGAAUAGAGAAGUAUAAAAGUUCACAUUUUAUCUUUCAAAUAC
This 564-nucleotide long non-coding RNA is filed under the name Ananas comosus (pineapple). Its description in RNAcentral is "long non-coding RNA (ACOM_LNC039830)". Lineage: Eukaryota; Viridiplantae; Streptophyta; Magnoliopsida; Poales; Bromeliaceae. The record is from RNAcentral.